CACGCCGUAAACGAUGUCAACUAGCCGUUGGGAGCCUUGAGCUCUUAGUGGCGCAGCUAACGCAUUAAGUUGACCGCCUGGGGAGUACGGCCGCAAGGUUAAAACUCAAAUGAAUUGACGGGGGCCCGCACAAGCGGUGGAGUAUGUGGUUUAAUUCGACGCAACGCGAAGAACCUUACCAAGGCUUGACAUUGAGUGAAAGAUCUAGAGAUAGAUUCCUCUCUUCGGAGACACGAAAACAGGUGG
RNAcentral lists this ribosomal RNA (246 nucleotides) under uncultured bacterium. RNAcentral's name for it is "partial 16S ribosomal RNA". It matches the Rfam family "Bacterial small subunit ribosomal RNA", at positions 796 to 1041 of the family's 1533-position model. The record is from RNAcentral.